This 3244-nucleotide long non-coding RNA is filed under the name Bos taurus (domestic cattle). RNAcentral's name for it is "long non-coding RNA NONBTAT025892". The record is from RNAcentral. Lineage: Eukaryota; Metazoa; Chordata; Mammalia; Artiodactyla; Bovidae.
CCAAGGGCAAAGGAGCAGGCACUCUGGUAACACGUUUAGCCCCGGGGCACUGGGCUUAAUAGUAAACGUGCAUGAUUCUCGUAGGGGCUAGAGACCAAAGAGGUAAACAGGGCAGAAACUGGAUAAAACUGUGAGGCUCAGGGUGGCCCUGCCACAGGCUGCAGCCACUUAGGAGUGCUACAGGCUGACCCCACAGUGUAGUACGGGGCUGCCCUGGGGUCCAUGGAGGGCUGUCCUCCUCCUCCUCCCUUCGGUGCUCCCAGUGACCCUGGUUGGUGGCAAGUGCUCCCUGGGGGAGGAGGGUCAGGAUUGGAGCUUUCUGAACUCAGGCUGCCUGGGGCCUGGUCAGACCACACCUGCCCUUGGUUGUAUGCAGCUCAUGCAAAAAUCAGGGUUUAGCCUCGAGGGUUGGGGGAGGGGAACAAAACUUCUCCAGACUCUAUUUCAUUGAACUUCCUAAGCCAAGAGAGAAAGACUAGAAUUGGGCCAAAGGAAUCCAUUGGACCUAUAGGCUAAACAAGAAAAGCUCACUCCAAUCACAGGGCAGACUUCCCUGGGUCUUUGCUUCUCUAAAGCAAUUAUGAAUUAGUUCCCCUUCUCAGCUAUAAAGAAAGUUUGGUUUCCUCUGGUGACCACAUAGUCUGUAACUCGAACCCUGUUGAUAGGCAAUGGGUUAGUCAACAAACCCAGCCAAGCUUCUAGGGCUUCUCUUGGGAUGCCUGUUUCAAAAGUGGAUUUCACUCAUCUGAUUACCCAGUAAGUGAUCACCAAAGGGCCGGGAACCUGGGAAGGCCAAAAAAAAAGUUUUUUCACAAGUGCAUCUAAAUUUGGGGCCGAUUUUAUGUGUCUGCAGUAAGAAUGUUUAGAACAUAAUUCUUUUGUUGUUUUUGUUUAAGAAGCACCUUAUAUAGUAUAAUAUAUAUUUUUUUGAAAUUGCAAUGCUUGUUUAUCAGACAACUGAAUGUAGUGAUUCUGUUUUGGAUUUAAUUUGACUGGGUUAACACAUUCAAAGCCAACAAAAAAUAUGUUUACUUUUUUUGUAUUACUACCUUGUCAUGUAGUCAUUGAUGCCUAAGGCCUGGUGAUUAUUCAUUUAAAUGAUGAUCACAUUUUCAUAUCAACUUUUAUAUCCACAGUAGAUGAAAUAGCACUAAUCCAGAUGCCUAUUGUUGGAUAUUGAAUGAUAGACAAUCAUAUGUAGCAGAGAUUAUGCCUGAAAAGGAAAAUUAUUCAGGGCAGCUAAUUUUGCUUUACCAAAAUAUAAGUAGUAAUAUUUUUGGACAGUAGCUAAUGGGUCAGUGGGUUCUUUUUAAUGUUUAUACUUAGAUUUUCUUUUAAAAAAAUAAAAACAAACAAAAAAAAUCUAGGAUUCUAGAUGAUGUAAUACCAGCUAAAUCCAAACAAUAAUCCAGCAGAGGGUUUUACAUUAUUCACAUAAGAUGUUUGUAUUCAUGUAAAGACACUAUUACAUUUGAAAUGGGCAGAGAGCACCAGAUGGUUGGUAUGUUAGCCUAGGAGUUUCAAGUAAUUUUAGAAAUCUCUUGUUCUUAUAUGAAGUGCCACUAAUGGAGAGCUGAUACUUUGCAGCUGAUGUUACUCGGAUGUAGGGAAUAUGCUGUAUUUUUCCCCCCUACUCUGAUACAGUUUAAAGUUUGAAAGACAUGGUCAGAGAGGGAGUGGAUGGGUUAGAAUAGAGUGGGGAAAUGGGUUUGGGCAUUUUAAGAGUGAAAAAUAUCGUGAUAAGAGUCCUGAAAGCAUUCUGAGGCAGAUCAGCACUGGCACUUGGGGCAUGCACCAGGACUCAGUAUUUCACUUGUGUUCUGUUAACCACGAAUAACUAGCUGUAUGUGACAGCUGAUCCUAUAACGGCAGCUUGAUUUCCGGGGCAGAACUAGAGGCAUGUGCAGUACAGUCCAAGAAAUAGCUAGUGGUCUGUGUUUCUUUUAGCCAUUGCCUAGCUCCAGGCUUGCAGUAAUGAUUCUGUAAUGCUGUCACGCAACCAUCAGAGAGGUUAGUUCAUCCAAAGAGAAGACCCUAGGUAGGUUGCAAAACCCAGCCCUUGAGGAAGUGUAGUCAUUGAUUCAAUUUCCCUAUUAACCUUGCAACUAUGUUUAACCAUGCCAUAGCCCAUGCCUUUUGAGGGCUGAACAAAUAAGGGGCUAACUGAUAAUCCAACUUCUGAUCCCAUUACAAUAUUCUUGCUUUAAAAUCUUUAUACGCUGAAAUGGCUAUUGGUUUAGGCCACUGGUUUAGACUAUCCCUACAUGAAACUAAUCCCAAAUCCCUUCCUAGUCACACUCCCCACCUCUGAGAUGGACUGUGGGUACUGGGAGUCAUCACUAGGACCAUAGUUAACGUCUGAUAUUCACAGGCAGAUUUGCUUCCGGAAACUAGUUGUUAGAAACACAUGUAGAGUCAUAUGUAGCUUCUGAGAUAACCGUGAUUCUCUUGGGUUCAAGUCUUGGGAUGAUGACCCAGAUGACACUGCACAGUUCCUGGGUGAACUCCCUGAAAACUUACUGUCAACUGGAGCAAAUGACUUUAAGUGCCGUCCCACACAUCCACCUUUUCAUUAGUGUUAUUUCUCUGUUUUUAACUGCAGUUCCUUUCCAUUUGGAUUAAAGUGAAUGUGGCCUCCUUCUAAGUCACUGAAAAUUGUUUUCUAAGUAACUGCUGCCUCUAUUAUGGCACUUCAAGUUUGCACUGUCUUUCAGAGAUUCAAGAAAAAUUUCUAUUCUUUUUUUUUUUUUUUUUGCAUCCAAAUGUGCCUGAACUUUUAAAAUGUGUAAAUGCUGCCAUGUUUCAAACCCAUCUUCAGUGUGUUUUUACAGAGCUGUGUACCCUGGAAACCACAUACAGCCCCAUGAACAGGUGCCUGAGGCACAGACCCCUUUGCAUUCACAGAGAGGUCAUUGGUCAUAGAGACUUGAAUUAAUAAGUGACAUUAUGCCAGUUUAUGUUCUCUCACGGUUUAUAAACAGCGCUUUUUGUGCACUACGUAUUUUUCAGUGUAGAGCUCUUGUUUUUUCGGGGAAAAGCUCAAAUGCCAAAUUGUGUUUGAUGGAUUAAUACGCCGAUGCAUACUAUUAUUGAUGUGAUUCUGUUUUGUUGCAGCUUCGCUUUGUUUAAUGAAACACACUUGUAAACCUCUUUUGCACCUUAAAAAAAAAUGAAUCCAGUGGGAUGCUCAAGCACCUUAAACAAUUUUCUCUACCUAUUUGAUGUUCAAAUAAAGAAUUAAAUG